This 490-nucleotide ribosomal RNA is filed under the name uncultured bacterium. RNAcentral describes it as "partial 16S ribosomal RNA". It matches the Rfam family "Bacterial small subunit ribosomal RNA", at positions 30 to 507 of the family's 1533-position model. The record is from RNAcentral.
AUUGAACGCUGGCGGCAUGCCUUACACAUGCAAGUCGAACGGCAGCAUGAUCUAGCUUGCUAGAUUGAUGGCGAGUGGCGAACGGGUGAGUAAUACAUCGGAACGUGCCCUGUAGUGGGGGAUAACUAGUCGAAAGAUUAGCUAAUACCGCAUACGACCUGAGGGUGAAAGUGGGGGACCGCAAGGCCUCAUGCUAUAGGAGCGGCCGAUGUCUGAUUAGCUAGUUGGUGAGGUAAAGGCUCACCAAGGCGACGAUCAGUAGCUGGUCUGAGAGGACGAUCAGGCACACUGGGACUGGGACACGGCCCAGACUCCUACGGGAGGCAGCAGUGGGGAAUUUUGGACAAUGGGCGAAAGCCUGAUCCAGCAAUGCCGCGUGUGUGAAGAAGGCCUUCGGGUUGUAAAGCACUUUUGUCCGGAAAGAAAUGGCUCUGGUUAAUACCUGGGGUCGAUGACGGUACCGGAAGAAUAAGGACCGGCUAACUACGUG